AGUAAUUCUAGAGCUAAUAC
Molecule: non-coding RNA, 20 nt
Filed under: Arabidopsis thaliana (thale cress)
Lineage: Eukaryota; Viridiplantae; Streptophyta; Magnoliopsida; Brassicales; Brassicaceae
Source: RNAcentral